Molecule: long non-coding RNA, 204 nt
Organism: Bufo bufo (common toad)
Lineage: Eukaryota; Metazoa; Chordata; Amphibia; Anura; Bufonidae
Exons: 3
Source: RefSeq, a predicted model, not a curated record
ACCAUUGCAAGUGGAGGAUGGGAGUUGAUGAUCUUGAUGACGGUGACACUGGCUACAACACCUAAUUGUCUCAGUGGAGUGCAGAGCUGGAAAGAACUGGCACGCUUGCCAGAAUGGCAAGCUGUAUGCUUGCUUGCUUACACACUGACAGGCCUAUCAUUCACAUCAAACAGUCUGAUGAUUAUUGGAUAACCAAGCUUUUAG